CCUGAUUAAGCCGCCCGGCAGCAAGGAGGAAGGCCUGCUGCUUUGGCACCAUAUCUAGUCUGAAAUAAUUGUUCCAUUUUCUUGAAAUUAAGCCCUUUCCUUGUGAUCGAAUUACAAUUCAGAGGUAGAUGAAAAACGAACCACCUGUCAGUCCGUCCCUCUGCCCGGGUCAUGUGUGCAUCGAAGAUCUGGGCUGUCACGUGUUGGACUUAAAUCAGGCGGCAGAAGUGCCUUCACGACAGUGUCUUUAGCUGCACCGAGCAAAUCAAGGUCAAAUAAAAGUAGGUCAGCUCUGAACAUGACAGGUCACUCUGCCUGUUUCUGUGGAAGACUGACAGCAGUAGGGACGGAGCAGAAACGGAGACCGGCUGCGAGAUGGGGGGACAUCUGGACGAGGGUAGGGAGAUGUGGUGGCUUUCAAGAUACACUCCGGGGGAACAGCUGUCAAGAACUGCAAGCAGACGACGUGAGGCGCCAGGGAAGGAGCAAGACGAUGAUGCCUACAUGUUGGGCCUGCGUAACCAGGGAAAUGGUUCUGCCUCAUAAGAUGGGGAAGAAGGGGGAGGAGCAGGGUUAUAUGUUUUCCUUUUUUUCUUUUCAAGAGAAAAAUAUCAAGACUUGUAUUUAGUUAUCUUAGGUCUAGGAUGCCCAUUAAAUGUCAAAGUGGGGAUGCUGAGUGGGUAGUGGGUAUGUGGGUUGGGGCUCAGGAGAAAGGUCCAAGGUCAUCAUUGUACCGAUGACCACUGGGUCCUCCACCUCCGGACAGGCACCCAGGCGUCACCUCCUCCAGGCUCUGGCGGCUGCUCUGUGGCUCCUCCUGCCUAGAAUGCUCUGUCCUCACUUCUGCAGUGUAGGCUCCUACUCGUCUCUUGAGACUUGCUCAAGAGGCACCUCUUGUUUAAAGGCCCCUCCUGAGUGCCCAGGGGAGAGCCCCUCAGCCCUCCCUUCCCCUGCGGUGCCCUGUCACAUGCCCCAAUAGCCUUGUGUCACCUCUAUUUGCACCUUUCCUCCUCAUGAGCAUCUUGAGGGCAGUGACCAGAAGACUAUUCCUCCCUGUACCCCACCUCCUACCAUAAGGCCGGGGCACGGCAAACAUUUGCUAAAUGAACAGAGAUGCCCUCUCUGUAAAGAGGCCCAAAAGAAACGACAUGCGUGCCAACUGACCCACACGGCAGCCGCUGUCUGCGAGGAGUAAAGGGGGAAAUAGGUAUUGCCCCUGCAGCGCUAGGGGUAGAAUGGUAUCCACCUUCGAGGAGUUUCUUAACAAUACAAAAGAGCCUCAAGAAAUCGAAGAGCUGGGGCACCUGGGUGGCUCAGUGGUUGAGGGUCUGCCUUCAGCUCAGGGCGUGAUCCCAGGGUCCUGGGAUCGAGUCCCAUGUUGGACUCCCUGCGUGGAGCCUGCUUCUCCCUCUGCCUGUGUCUCUGCCUCUCUCUGUGUCUCUCAUUAAUAAAUAAAUAAAAAUCUUAAAAAAAAAAAAAAGAAAUCUAAGAGCUGAGUAUCUCAGGAUGUCACACGGUGUACUGAACACCACAUCUGAGAAACGCGUCUCGGGUCUCCCUGCAGAAACACCCAGCGAGUCCCAAACCGAAGCACUGAGGAGUCCGAGACAGAAGGAAGCAAACCGCCCUCGUCUACGUGGCCUCCUGCACUCCUGAGAGUGAGCCUGGAAGCAGGUGCCCUAGAGGUAACAGCGAGGGGGAAUGGGAAAUCGUGUUUUGUAUCAGUGAUUCCCGCUGCGUGAUUCUGGGACCCCAUGGACAGCCUCAUCUUCUCCAUCCAGCUCCUGUUCAAUCUGCAAUACCCUACUGGCUCGAGGACUUCUUCUACUUCACUCCAGUAUUUGCAAGGCAUCUCCUAAAGUGACCACCACGGGAUAUGACACCUCCUCUCCCAUCUCCGUAUGUGGCCACCGGUCCUGGGCUUGCCCAAGAGAUCACAGAUGGGGAUGAUCUCCGGGACUGAGACUCUCAGACCCUCUCCUAUUUGCAAAAGAAAUCUGCCAAAUUACAGCUAUUUCAACAAGAUGGCUAAUAAAAAGGACUAAGUGCCUUGUUCAAAUUUACAACAUCAUAACUUGCUGAAUUCAAGUUCACUCGUCUUCAACCUUGCUUAAAUAGGGGCAAUCAAAAUUUAUAUCCUGCAUUAUCCAACAUUUUAUGUUGACUUAGUAAGCCUUGCUGAAGAGUUCUUAACAACUGCUAAUGAGGAAAUUCCAUGGGGAGGAGAGAAGGUGACUCUCCUAAAUCCAAAAGAGCCUCAAUGAAACACUAUCGCCACUUGGAUUCUCAUAAAAAUGUCAACUUAUGGGGUGAAAUGACCUUCUCAUCUAUGGGCAAAGUUGCUAAUGAACAGAACUCUAAAUUGAUGCAGUGUCUGAGAGGUGCCAGUUUCGUUUAGCAGAGACUGCCCGCUCAGUUACCUGUGGGCCCUGUAAAGGUGCAACAGCUGGGCAGGAGGGACAGGUCCCCCCAGGACCACCACUCUUCAGCACUGCCAUGAGGGAAGAUGGACCCAAUGCUGCAGGUUCUCAUGCAGAGCCAGAAAUCCAGAUUUCUAGACACCAUCUACCACCUUUCAGAUGCUAGCCACUAACUGUAGUUUUAGAAUACUGUGAGCGCUGAACCAAAUACAUCUGCAGGCCAGAUGUGGCCCGUGAGUCAAGUUUUCAACCUCUGCUUGAAAGUAUCUACAUUUUCUUAAUGGGUAAUUUUUGUUCAAUUUUAUUUUCAGGAGGACGGCAGGAGGCAGGGAAAUAAUAUGGGAUGAGAGUCAAGCAGUUGAUACUAAGAAUAUAUUCCUAACGUACUUGACAAACAAGGGUAGUGGUCCCUAACAAAACGGGAAGAAACUGUUGAAAUUGACUCGCCUCUACCAGGCAUAAAACCCUCGAGAGUAAGGAUUUCCCAUGAUCCAGAGCGAAUUUCCACAAUUUGCUAUCAAUGAAUCGACAAGAACUUACUCCACUACUACGUAUUAACCGUUCAUCAUAAGACAUUUAAAAUAACAACAGCAAGCACAGAAAUGCUCCUCAGUGCCGGAUGCUACUCAGGCAUUUGGCACCCGGCAGCACCAGUGUGGGUCACACAGGCUCUGGGCAAGAUUCCAGGAAAGGCCUAACACAUCUCCCUCCGAAACGAAAACCAAAAACAACCCGGAAUGUAGACAUAUCAUAAAAUUGUGCUCAGUCGUUUUUUUCCCCAAAGCCCAAACAAUAAGAUAUAUUUGUGCUACUAACAGUAUCUGCAUGUAAUCUGCAAUCCACAAAGUGCCUUUCUUAUAUCCUAUCUCACUCCUCGGGGCCUUUACUGCACUGUAGACCUUGUAUCCUGUCUGAAGUCCUCUCACGGUUGUUGUUAAAGACACGACUC
Molecule: long non-coding RNA, 3369 nt
Organism: Canis lupus familiaris (dog)
Lineage: Eukaryota; Metazoa; Chordata; Mammalia; Carnivora; Canidae
Exons: 5
Source: RefSeq, a predicted model, not a curated record